AGUAAUUAAAAUUUAAUAUGACAUUAUUUCACGAAGUAAAAUGAGCUAAAAGAAUAAAUAUAUUAGUACCUGGUUCUAUAUGUAGCAAUAUAUAGAUAUUAUUAUCUUUUAGGGGUGACAUGCCUUUCAAAUUUUACGAUAACUUGAUGCGUAGGAAAAAUAUUGAGUAUUAAAUCAGAUUUAAAAUGCUAAGGUUUUAGAAAAAUAUUAUACCCUAUAUAUAAUGUGUAUAUUAUGUAAUUAUAUAUACUUUUAACAUUCUAUAAUUAAUUUAGUUAACUAUAUAUUUUAUACUAUGUUGAAGUAUUAAAUUGACGUGUCUGUUAAUAAUGUUACUAUUAGUAUUAAAAUAGAUUUUGUUAAGGAACUCGGCAAAGAUAUUAUUCAACUGUUUACCAAAAACAUUGCUUUGUGUAUUUAUUCAAGGUUAACCCUGCUCAAUGGUUUAAACUAAAUAGCCGCAGUACUUUGACUGUGCAAAGGUAGCAUAAUCAUUUGGCUUAUAAUUGAAGUCUGGUAUGAAUGGGUAAAUGGAUAAUAACUAUCUACCAUUACAAAUUGAAUUUACUUAUUAAGUGAAAAUUCUUAUAGAAGAAAAAUAGACGAGAAGACCCUAGAAAUUUUUUAUACAUAUACUAAAAUAAUCUAUUUUGUUGGGGCGACAUGGUAGCAGUUAACCUACAUAAUAUAAUUAAAAAUUACUGAAAGAUAUAAUUAAAUUACUCUAGGGAUAACAGCAUAAUACAUAAGAGUUUGUGACCUCGAUGUUGGACUAGGUAAAUUAAUGUUUAGAAGAUGUUAAUAUGAGCUCUGUUCGAGCUAUUAUACCUACAUGAUCUGAGUUCAGACCGG
Molecule: ribosomal RNA, 852 nt
Filed under: Leptaxis minor
Lineage: Eukaryota; Metazoa; Mollusca; Gastropoda; Stylommatophora; Hygromiidae
Description: partial 16S ribosomal RNA
Source: RNAcentral